AUGAACGCUAGCGACAGGCCUAACACAUGCAAGUCAGGGGCAGCACAAGGAGCAAUCUGAGGUGGCGACCGGCGCACGGGUGAGUAACACGUAUGCAACCUGCCUGUAAGCGGGGAAUAACCCGUUGAAAGACGGACUAAUACCGCAUAAUACUAAAUUACUGCAUGGUAAUUUAUUUAAACAUUUAUGGCUUACAGAUGGGCAUGCGCAUGAUUAGCUAGUUGGAGAGGUAACGGCUCCCCAAGGCAACGAUCAUUAGGGGUUCUGAGAGGAAGGUCCCCCACACUGGUACUGAGACACGGACCAGACUCCUACGGGAGGCAGCAGUGAGGAAUAUUGGUCAAUGGACGAGAGUCUGAACCAGCCAAGUCGCGUGCAGGAAGAAUGUCCCUAUGGAUUGUAAACUGCUUUUGCAGGGGAAUAAAGUGCAUCACGUGUGAUGUUUUGUAUGUACUCUGCGAAUAAGGAUCGGCCUAACUCCGGUGCCAGCCGCUGC
Molecule: ribosomal RNA, 496 nt
Filed under: uncultured bacterium
Lineage: Bacteria
Description: bacterial SSU rRNA
Rfam family: Bacterial small subunit ribosomal RNA
Source: RNAcentral